AGACAAAGCUGGAAAAAGACAAACCCAGAUGCUGCGUGGAGGAAAAAAAAAAAGAAAAAAAGAAAAAAAAAAGAGGAAACCAGAUGAAUGGUGAUGAAUGAAUUUUGAGAGAAAAAUCAGGGAGAAGGAAAGCGAUGUGUUGACAGCGUGGAGAAAUUGAAUUAGCAGCUGCAGCGCUGGGAACAUUGGAUCACAUUAGGAGCGCAGCAGAGGAGCAGAGGCUACCUGCAGGCCGGAGGGAGAGGCUCUUUACUCCUCUGCUUUGAGCUCUCACACAGCCCGACAGCUACAUCACAAAUCCUUCAACGUAACACCAGGACAUCCUCAAAAAAAAAACUAAAAUAAAAUAAAUAAAUACUCAGAACCUGUCAUAAGUCAAAACCAGGAAAAAGCGUCGAAUCCAACAGAUGGUCUUAUUUCGAUCACUGUUAAAAGGCCAGUGUAGUCAGGCUCACAGCUGUGCUUUCUUACAUUUCGAUAACGCGAGAUUUACUUGGAUUUUAAUAAGAUUUAAAUUAUGGAGCGAUUAAAGAGGCUUGAAAAAUCGACGAUGGGUUUUCAUUGUUCAAAAAAUACCACAAAAUAAUAAAAUGAGCCCACGUGUGUUUUUAUGCUGUCAUAUAACGCGGCUGUUGGUCGAUACCUGAGUCGAAGUCCGACCUCAUCGUAAUGCAAACAGCCGCUCCCUCCUUAACGCAGUCAGCUGUCAUUUGGAAGAAUCAACGUGGGCUAAUUGAAAUGACGGUGAGCCUAAACCGAGCCCAGCCGAGUUUACCUCCUCCGCUCCCUCCUGUGUUACAGGAUAAAUAUGGAGGACGAAACUGAAGCUGAUCCAGAAAAAUCCUCCUCCUCAUGUUCCUGACUCACAUCUAAUCUCCAUCCAAGCUGACAGCGGCGCACUGAGCUCAGGUCAGUGAACACAUCUCGGCCUUUGUCUUGGACACCUUACACCGUUAGCGGACCUGUACAGGUGCCCACAGCAGGUGGACAAAAAAAAACAGGUGAAAGUUUCAUUUCAGCGUUUCAUUUUAUCUGCUAAGAUGGUGACAAAGUCUGAAAAUUGAGCGGAUUUGAAGUUUUAGGUUGUUGUACAUUUUAACAGUAAUUCAGAGAUGAAACUUGCAGUCAUAAUUUGAGCCAUCUGCAGUCUAAUGAGAGAUUUCUGACCUUGUGUCAGUAAGAAAGUGUUCUGCAGCAGCUGAUCAACACCUUUAACUGGAGAAAAUCACCUGCUGCAGGACCUUAACAUUAACAUGUUGUUAUUCUACAUGAUGUAAUUCUCACCGCAAUCUCAGGUUCCCCUGAAGUGAGAAUGUGUGAUUACUGUAACCUUCUCACAGUCCUCUGUUGGCUAAAUCUGAUCAUCGGAGCCCAGGCCAUGCAGACCAAAGUGCAGAGCCACAGGGAAGGCUGUGGUGGUGUCUCAGAGGCUUUGAUGGUAAAACAUGCAGGGAGCGUCCAAGGUAGGUCUCACUCAAGUCAAUGCUGAGCUUCAGAGAAAAUAAACAAAGAGUCUGGUAUGCACUUUAGCCGUAAAGCAAGGAGUCCCUGCAUUCUAACUGGCUACUCUUUUCCAUGUUCUUACUUCAGCUGCUUAUCUGUUGCGGUUUUGGUUUUGGAAAUUUUUGCAACCAACAUUACUAAUUUUGACAAGCUAAUGAUCAUAGAUUUCCAAGAAUUUCAGAGGGAUUUAAAUCACCAAUUUACUUCCUCCCCAGAAUUAGGAAACAUUCAGUAAAUAAACGUUAAUGUGCCCUACAUAAUGCAUUGUGUUGCGGCUAUCAACUUCUAAAUCAAAUGAAUCAAAAUCAAUUAAUUUCUCGCGCUCCUGUUUGUGUGUGCUCUCUCAUGAUGCUGCUGAACAACACAAUUCUUUGUUCAAGCAAAUUUCUAACGGUGAACGAGGAGAAAAGUUAUGCUGACUCACAUUUGUAAGUUAUUGUAGCUAUGAUGCAUAUGCUCGUGCAGCCAAGUGAUGUUUCACAGUCUAUCACAAUAUGUACAAUACAAUGACAAACUAUUUCCUCCACUUUCCUUCUUUCUGGAAAAAAAAUAAAGGAUAUUUUGAUGAUUUUUGGAUCGUGUAACUUCUGGUAACUGGCCUCUAGCAUGAUUUUUAUGGGUAAAGCUUCAUGGCAAAUUAAACCAUAAUUACACAUUGGAUUUAGUAAGUGGAGACAUAGGAUACAAAAGGAUGUUUUGAACUUUUAUAAAAGCAGUCUUCACAGUGGGUGCCAGCGCAGUGCUGUCACUUCUCAAAAUCAAAAGUAGCAAUUUGGUGUAGAAAAAAAGGAAGUGCCACAAGUGAAGUUCCUGCUAAUUUCCACUUGAAUGUGUUUGCCUCAGAUGUGCUGGUGUCAGCCAAAAGAAGAAGAAGAAGAAGUGGGGCUCGUGUUGUAAACGAGGGCCACUGAGAUCUCGUAGGUUGAACAAAUUUAGCAAACGGCACAAGCACACGUGUCAGCGUCGAGUGUUGGCACUUU
Molecule: long non-coding RNA, 2483 nt
Organism: Scatophagus argus
Lineage: Eukaryota; Metazoa; Chordata; Actinopteri; Scatophagidae
Exons: 3
Source: RefSeq, a predicted model, not a curated record